Molecule: ribosomal RNA, 371 nt
Filed under: uncultured organism
Description: partial 16S ribosomal RNA
Rfam family: Bacterial small subunit ribosomal RNA
Source: RNAcentral
GUAGGUGGCAAGCGUUGUCCGGAAUUAUUGGGCGUAAAGCGCGCGCAGGCGGUCCUUUAAGUCUGAUGUGAAAGCCCACGGCUCAACCGUGGAGGGUCAUUGGAAACUGGGGGACUUGAGUACAGAAGAGGAAAGCGGAAUUCCAAGUGUAGCGGUGAAAUGCGUAGAGAUUUGGAGGAACACCAGUGGCGAAGGCGGCUUUCUGGUCUGUAACUGACGCUGAGGCGCGAAAGCGUGGGGAGCAAACAGGAUUAGAUACCCUGGUAGUCCACGCCGUAAACGGUGAGUGCUAAGUGUUAGGGGGUUUCCGCCCCUUAGUGCUGCAGCUAACGCAUUAAGCACUCCGCCUGGGGAGUACGGCCGCAAGGCUG